GCUGUUAUAGCUCAGUAGGUAGAGUGCGUCCUUGGUAAGGACGAGGUCACCGGUUCAAUCCCGGUUAACAGCUCCA
Molecule: transfer RNA, 76 nt
Filed under: Oscillospiraceae bacterium
Lineage: Bacteria; Bacillati; Bacillota; Clostridia; Eubacteriales; Oscillospiraceae
Description: tRNA-Thr
Rfam family: tRNA
About the family: Transfer RNA (tRNA) molecules are approximately 80 nucleotides in length. Their secondary structure includes four short double-helical elements and three loops (D, anti-codon, and T loops).
Source: RNAcentral